GGAUGAACACUAGCGGGAGGCGUAACACAUGCAAGCCGAGCGGUAUUUGUUAUUCGGAACAGAGAGAGCGGCGUACGGGUGCGUAACACGUGUGCAACCUACCUUUAUCAGGGGAAUAGCCUUUGAAAAGGAAGAUUAAUACUCCAUAAUAUAUUGAGUGGCAUCAUUCGAUAUUGAAAACUCCGGUGGAUAAAGAUGGGCACGCGCAAGACAAGAUAGUUGGUGAGGUAACGGCUCACCAAGUCAAUGAUCUUUAGGGGUCUCGAGAGGGAGAUUCCCCACACUGGUAUUGAGACACGGACCAGAGUCUUACGGGAGGCAGCAGUGAGGAAUAUUGGACAAUGGGUGAAAGCGCGAUCCAGCCAUCCCGCGUGAAGGAGGACGGUCCUAUGGAUUGUAAAAUUUUUUUGUAUAGGGAUAAACACAGAUACGUGUAUAUAGAUGAAGGUAUUAUAUGAAUAAGCACCGGCUAAAUCCGUGCCAGCAGCCGCGGUAAUACGGAGGGUGCAAGCGUUAUCCGGAUUUACAGGGUUUAAAGGGUCUCUGGGCGGGCCGAUAAGUCAGUGGUGAAAUAUCAUAGCUUAAAUAGGAAAAAGCCACUGAUAUAGUCGGUGAUGAGUAAUUUAGAGGUAGAAGGAAUAAGUAGUGUAGCGGUGAAAAGCAUAGAUAUUAUUCAGAACACCACAUGUGAGGGCAGGUUACCAUGAUUUAAUAGACGCGGAGGGAGGAAAGAGCGGGGAGAGAACAGGAUAUGAUAUCCCGGUAGUGCACGCCGUAAAAGAUGCUAAUUCGUUUUUGGGGGGCCAGUUUCAGAGACCAAGCGAAAGUGAUAUAUUAGCCACCUGGGGAAUAAGUUCGCAUUAAUGAAACUCAGGAGAAGUGAGGGGGGCCCGCACAAGCGGUGGAUUAUGUGGUUUAAUUCUAUGAUACGCGAGGAACCUUACCAGGGCUUAUGUGGAAAAUGACAGAUUUAGAAAUACAUUUCUCUUCAGACAUUUUUCAGGGUGCUGCGGGGUUGUCCUCCUCUCGUGCCGUGAUGUGUUGUGUUAACUCCUGCAACGAGCGCACCCCCUGUCACUAUUUGCUAACAUUAAGUUGAGGACUCUAGUGAGACUGCCUACGCAAGUAGAGAGGAAGGUGGGGAUGACGUCAAAUCAUCACGGCCCUUACGCCUUGGGCCACACACGUAAUACAAUGGCCGGUACAGAGGGCAGCUACUGGGCGAUGUGAAGCGAAUCUCGAAAGCCGGUCUCAGUUCGGAUUGGAGUCUGCAACUCGACUCUAUGAAGCUGGAAUCGCUAGUAAUCGCACAUCAGCCAUGACGCGGUGAAUACGUUCCCGGGCCUUGUACACACCGCCCGUCAAGCCAUGGAAGUCUGGGGUACCUGAAGUCGGUGACCGUAAAAAGAUCUGCCUAGGGUAAAAGAGGUAUCUAGGGCUAA
This 1442-nucleotide ribosomal RNA is filed under the name Chryseobacterium sp. Its description in RNAcentral is "bacterial SSU rRNA". It matches the Rfam family "Bacterial small subunit ribosomal RNA". Lineage: Bacteria; Pseudomonadati; Bacteroidota; Flavobacteriia; Flavobacteriales; Weeksellaceae. The record is from RNAcentral.